GCCGGGCAUGGUGGUGGGUGCCUGUAAUCCCAGCUACUUAGGAUGCUGAGGCAGGAGAAUUUCUUGAACCCAGGAGGUGGAGUGCAGUGAAUGGAGACCAUACCACUGCACUCCAGCCUGGGUGACAGAGGAAGACUCUACCUCAA
RNAcentral lists this small RNA (146 nucleotides) under Macaca mulatta (Rhesus monkey). RNAcentral describes it as "Metazoan signal recognition particle RNA (ENSMMUG00000053068.1)". Lineage: Eukaryota; Metazoa; Chordata; Mammalia; Primates; Cercopithecidae. The record is from Rfam by way of RNAcentral.